AAAAAAAAAAAGAGGGGAGACAGAGUAAAAAUGUACUCCUACAGUCAAGCCUUCCGUAUGGAGCCAAUGGGCAGAUGUGGUUUCCUUGGACUACUCUGACCUACAGAGGACACGAGAAACCUGAUGAGAAGGGUCAGAGGAGGGAAUCAGGAACAGAGUCCCUUGCAAGAGGGUGGAAAAAAAGCACUUGGGUCUGUGAAGAAAUAUUUGGAACAAGGAAAUCCUGCAAGUGAAAAGAAGUCCUACAACUGGGAAAGACAAAAAACCAGCCAGUGUAACCACAAUACUGGAUUUCCUAUGGAGAUAACCAUCAUCAAUGCACAAAGCUCCUGUGUUCCUUCAAUUAACAUACUGUAGGUGGAAGCAAAAAACACUGCAUAAUGGUAAGUUUCACUUUCUACAAAGUCAAAAGCUGUUUUAAUAGAAGCUUAAGUGCCUUUCUUUUCAGUUCAGCAAGAAAGAGAGUAUUUUCUCAGAGGCUGACUGAACACCCAGGUUGUUCAGAAGCCA
This 510-nucleotide long non-coding RNA is filed under the name Chloebia gouldiae (Gouldian finch). RNAcentral describes it as "Erythrura gouldiae (Gouldian finch) lncRNA (ENSEGOG00005006814.1)". The record is from RNAcentral. Lineage: Eukaryota; Metazoa; Chordata; Aves; Passeriformes; Passeridae.